This 879-nucleotide ribosomal RNA is filed under the name Bacillus sp. (in: firmicutes). RNAcentral's name for it is "bacterial SSU rRNA". It matches the Rfam family "Bacterial small subunit ribosomal RNA", at positions 71 to 931 of the family's 1533-position model. Lineage: Bacteria; Bacillati; Bacillota; Bacilli; Caryophanales; Bacillaceae. The record is from RNAcentral.
GAUGGGAGCUUGCUCCCUGAUGUUAGCGGCGGACGGGUGAGUAACACGUGGGUAACCUGCCUGUAAGACUGGGAUAACUCCGGGAAACCGGGGCUAAUACCGGAUGGUUGUCUGAACCGCAUGGUUCAGACAUAAAAGGUGGCUUCGGCUACCACUUACAGAUGGACCCGCGGCGCAUUAGCUAGUUGGUGAGGUAACGGCUCACCAAGGCGACGAUGCGUAGCCGACCUGAGAGGGUGAUCGGCCACACUGGGACUGAGACACGGCCCAGACUCCUACGGGAGGCAGCAGUAGGGAAUCUUCCGCAAUGGACGAAAGUCUGACGGAGCAACGCCGCGUGAGUGAUGAAGGUUUUCGGAUCGUAAAGCUCUGUUGUUAGGGAAGAACAAGUGCCGUUCAAAUAGGGCGGCACCUUGACGGUACCUAACCAGAAAGCCACGGCUAACUACGUGCCAGCAGCCGCGGUAAUACGUAGGUGGCAAGCGUUGUCCGGAAUUAUUGGGCGUAAAGGGCUCGCAGGCGGUUUCUUAAGUCUGAUGUGAAAGCCCCCGGCUCAACCGGGGAGGGUCAUUGGAAACUGGGGAACUUGAGUGCAGAAGAGGAGAGUGGAAUUCCACGUGUAGCGGUGAAAUGCGUAGAGAUGUGGAGGAACACCAGUGGCGAAGGCGACUCUCUGGUCUGUAACUGACGCUGAGGAGCGAAAGCGUGGGGAGCGAACAGGAUUAGAUACCCUGGUAGUCCACGCCGUAAACGAUGAGUGCUAAGUGUUAAGGGGGUUUCCGCCCCUUAGUGCUGCAGCUAACGCAUUAAGCACUCCGCCCGGGGGAGUACGGUCGCAAGACUGAAACUCAAAGGAAUUGACGGGGGCCCGCACAAGCG